This 328-nucleotide ribosomal RNA is filed under the name uncultured Ferruginibacter sp. Its description in RNAcentral is "bacterial SSU rRNA". It matches the Rfam family "Bacterial small subunit ribosomal RNA", at positions 568 to 898 of the family's 1533-position model. The record is from RNAcentral. Lineage: Bacteria; Pseudomonadati; Bacteroidota; Chitinophagia; Chitinophagales; Chitinophagaceae.
UGCGUAGGUGGGUCUGUAAGUCAGUGGUGAAAUCUCCGGGCUUAACCCGGAAACUGCCAUUGAUACUAUAGGUCUUGAAUACUCUGGAGGUAAGCGGAAUAUGUCAUGUAGCGGUGAAAUGCUUAGAUAUGACAUAGAACACCAAUUGCGAAGGCAGCUUACUACGGGGUCAUUGACACUGAGGCACGAAAGCGUGGGGAUCAAACAGGAUUAGAUACCCUGGUAGUCCACGCCCUAAACGAUGGAUACUCGACAUCAGCGAUACACUGUUGGUGUCUGAGCGAAAGCAUUAAGUAUCCCACCUGGGAAGUACGAUCGCAAGAUUGAA